RNAcentral lists this unclassified non-coding RNA (1489 nucleotides) under uncultured Sphaeropleales. RNAcentral's name for it is "sequence contains 18S rRNA gene, ITS1, 5.8S rRNA gene, ITS2, 28S rRNA gene". The stretch from base 564 to 1489 matches the Rfam family "Eukaryotic large subunit ribosomal RNA", at positions 1 to 961 of the family's 3401-position model. The record is from RNAcentral. Lineage: Eukaryota; Viridiplantae; Chlorophyta; Chlorophyceae; Sphaeropleales.
GGAAGGAUCAUUGAAUCUCGGAAUGAACACUUGAAAGGAUGCGAAGCUUGAGUUGGAGAUCGACCUGAGCUUCACAAACACAUCUGCACCCAACAUCAAUCAAACCACUUGACGACAAUCAGCUCGGCUGAUGGUCAACAACCAACACAACUCUCAACAACGGAUAUCUUGGCUCUCGCAACGAUGAAGAACGCAGCGAAAUGCGAUACGUAGUGUGAAUUGCAGAAUUCCGUGAACCAUCGAAUCUUUGAACGCAUAUUGCGCCCGAAGCUUCGGCUCAGGGCAUGCCUGCCUCAGCGUCGUAUAUUACCGGGGUUAAGUAGAACUUGUUCACUUAGUUCCACGUCACACACCCCCGUGCAAUCCCCCCCUUGUUCGGCGUGACGAUCUUGAUCUUCCCAAGACCAUGUUGUCGUGGGUUGAUUGAAUAUGAGGACAUGAGCGAGGUACACAAGCGUCUCAACUGGACAGGUUCGCAUCACACCGUAUGCGCAACAUGAAUAGUUGAGGCGUGGGCUUUGCAAAUGUCAGCAGGAAGCCAAGCGAUUGGCGAUACAUACCUUUGACCUGAGCUCAGGCAAGAUUACCCGCUGAACUUAAGCAUAUCAAUAAGCGGAGGAAAAGAAACUAACAAGGAUUCCCUUAGUAACGGCGAGCGAACAGGGAAAAGCCCAACUGUAAAUCUCCCUCUGGAGAAUUGUAGUCUGUAGAAGCUUCCUCUGUGGCUUGCGGAGCCUAAGUCCCCUGGAAAGGGGCGUCAAAGAGGGUGACAACCCCGUCGGUUCCUGCCAAGUCGCUUCACGAGGUGCUUUCGAAGAGUCGGGUUGCUUGGGAAUGCAGCCCAAAGUGGGUGGUAAAUCCCAUCUAAGGCUAAAUACUGGCGAGAGACCGAUAGCGAACAAGUACCGUGAGGGAAAGAUGAAAAGAACUUUGAAAAGAGAGUUAAAAAGUGCUUGAAAUUGUUGAGAGGGAAGCGUUUGGAAGAUGCGGGUGCGCCUAGGCUUACGCGUCUUUAACGAGCCGUUGUAUGUGCUAGGUGCUGGUCAACAUGGGUUGCAAUGGUGGGAUAACCGCAAGGAUUGCUACCUUGUCUAUACCACCGUUGCGACCAAGGCGUGAAGGACGCCCUUGCCCUUCGGGAGCAGCGUUCUCAAGAUGUUGGCAGAAGUCUUCCAACCGGCCCGUCUUGAAACACGGACCAAGGAGUCUAACAUGUAUGCGAGUUGGUGGGUUGCAAACCCAUGAAGCGCAAGGAAACUAACUGGUGGGAUGGCCUGUGCCUGCACCAUCUACCGACCAUGAGCUUUUGCGAAAGGUUUGAGUGCGAGCAUACCUGUUGGGACCCGAAAGAUGGUGAACUAUGCCUGAGCAGGGCGAAGUCAGAGGAAACUCUGAUGGAGGCUCGUAGAUGUGCUGACGUGCAAAUCGCUUUUCGGACUUGGGUAUAGGGGCGAAAGACUAAUCGAACCAUCUAGUAGCUGGUUCCCUC